CCUACGGGUGGCAGCAGUGAGGAAUAUUGGUCAAUGGACGGAAGUCUGAACCAGCGAUGCCGCGUGCAGGAAGACGGCUCUAUGAGUUGUAAACUGCUUUUGUACAAGGGUAAACCUGAAUACGUGUAUUCAGCUGUACGUACUGUACGAAUAAGGAUCGGCUAACUCCGUGCCAGCAGCCGCGGUAAUACGGAGGAUCCAAGCGUUAUCCGGAUUUAUUGGGUUUAAAGGGUGCGUAGGCGGAUUGAUAAGUUAGAGGUGAAAUGUCCGGGCUUAACUCGGGAACUGCCUCUAAUACUGUUGAGCUAGAGAGUAGAUGCGGUAGGCGGAAUGUAUGGUGUAGCGGUGAAAUGCUUAGAGAUCAUACAGAACACCGAUUGCGAAGGCAGCUUACCAAUCUAUAUCUGACGUUGAGGCACGAAAGCGUGGGGAGCAAACAGGAUUAGAUACCCCUGUAGUC
This 460-nucleotide ribosomal RNA is filed under the name uncultured bacterium. RNAcentral describes it as "partial 16S ribosomal RNA". It matches the Rfam family "Bacterial small subunit ribosomal RNA", at positions 338 to 795 of the family's 1533-position model. The record is from RNAcentral.